RNAcentral lists this transfer RNA (93 nucleotides) under Streptomyces xanthochromogenes. RNAcentral's name for it is "tRNA-Gly". Lineage: Bacteria; Bacillati; Actinomycetota; Actinomycetes; Kitasatosporales; Streptomycetaceae. The record is from RNAcentral.
GACCACGUAGCCGAAGCGGCCGCCGGCGGCCGGGAGGCCUCCCUGGCCGGGCUGGAAGGUGGUGAUCGUGGCGUUCGAACCGCCCGCGGUCAC